UCUCCUCUUCGUCCUCUUCUUCUUCUUCUUCUUCUUCUUCUCCCUCUUCUACUUCUUCUUCGGGGUCGACUUUCGAUCGCCACUUUCAGGGGGGAAACGGACUCUCGCAACCGCGACCCACUUGCUUUUCUUUCCGAUUUUAUAUGUACUCCGGAGGUUCACGGAAACGAACUGGACUCUGAUCUCGAGACGCUUUCGGAGAGGACGACGCACAGUGUUCCUUCGAUUUUACACGGGGAUUCCCUCCCGGACAGGUGAACCUUUACCGCGGGACAUGCUGGCUUCCUGAUUUCCCGGUGUCGGGUUUCCUGGACGUCAAUCACGCGGAACAGGAACAAAUGACUAUUCAUCGAUCACGGGAAUGAUUUCGCAUAACAAACAGCCCCGUGGCACGGCCGGUCAAUCAGUCGAUUGGCGAGCGAGCGUGUAUCGAGCGGUGAUCCUUCGGAUCCUCGGUUUCAGGACUCACCAGGCGGACUCGAGGGUUCGCGAGGCCCGGUCGGCAAUGAUCGACGGGAUUCGAGACCGAUGGAUUAUGUUUAAGUAAUCAGUGAUAAUAAUCAUAGUUCCAUGCACAUCCGAAUUACCAAAGGUACUAGGCGAUAGUUUAUCUCGCUAGCGCGAGCUGGGUAUUUGUGCGGAAAACAAGAGCCACCAUUAGGGACUCCUCGGAGAGGGGACUCGCUGCGCUUUCGUAUCAGUUGAUUGGAUUGCGGAUCUUUACGCGAAAUCGCCUGCGAUCGGCAGUCGAUCGUUGGAUCGUUCGGAGAGCUGUUUCGUUCUUUCGCGAGAAAACGGAAGACGAUCUUUUUUAACGAUCACAGUAAGAAAAGAAGUAACACUUGUCACAUUCUUCUGGCAGCGUUGAGAUCUGCUUUGAGUUCAGUGCUUUUUUAACACCGUUGCGAAGUGCAAUUUUUUUUUGAGAAAUGAAAUAACUGUCCGAACUAUUUAAUAGACUAUAGAAUAUUUCUUUCCUGUUUCAAUCAUUUAUUCGUCCGAAUUCUUUCUUGAUCUUACUAUUGUUUGGAAUCGCAUCCGGUCCCUUUUGUUCCGAAUGCAUAAAAUCCGCAGUCUAAUUAUGAAAUUGCGCGGCAUUCCUCGGCUCGCGAAGUUGCUGGACCGUUUCGCGCGAGUCUGCCUGUUUUUUCUCCCCCUAAAGAACAACUUUCCCGAAAGAUUGCGAAUAAUCGGAAAACAUGAUUUUAUACCAUUUUAUGAACGUCGGCGUUGAUUCUUUGAUUAGAACUAUAGUGCUACGAUGUUUCGUUUGUUUACCUGGAAAUGUAAAUAAAUCAGAGACACGAGAUCAUGGGAUUUUCUAUGAAACGGAGAGAUGCAUCUAUACAUAUAUGCAUAUAAGCAUAGAAUGCAUGAACAGAUUAAAAAAAAUAAUUUUAUUAUUCAACACGGGAAUAUUUAUUAUUCGCGCGAUACCUAGAAAUAUCUACUAAAUACCUAGAAAUAAAAUAGGCGGAGUUUGCCUAGGUGUGUGUGUGUGUGUGUGUGUGUGUGUGCGUGCGCGCGAUUGCAAUUAAUUCGAUUAGAAUCGCGCCAAUCGGCCUCGACUUCGCGAGCUGCUUCUCUUCCUUUUUAGCCGAACCGAUGUAAUAGAGACUUUUUGAUAUCGAACGAUCAUUCACGGCUAGAAUCGCGAAUGAACAGGUGACGUGUCUUAAAACGGCGUUCCUCUCCUCGUGCCAAAACGUAGCUAAGAUACGAGUUUUUUCUACGGUGCCGCGCGAAUCCAAAGUGACCACGGACAUACAAAUUCCGGUGUUGAAUUUGUUGUAGAAUCAUUCGUCGCCCGCUAAUCGAACCGCAGGAAAACGAGAAAGUCGUUUGACGUCGUCGGUUCUUUUUGGAAAUGAUGAUUUUCUCUGUGUCGGGGAAAAAGAAAACGUCUGACAGGCAUGGAACGUCAAACCAUGAAAUUUGUAAAUUGCCACUUUGUAAAUUGUCUACGUGAAAUUGUAAAGUCAUUGUGUAUUAACGAACCUUCAAUAUCCGAAGUAUAUUUUUAAUUGAAACGGUGAACCGUGUAUAAUGCAUCGAACGGACUGCAUACAUAGUUACGUCUGUUCUGUUAAAAAUGUUAAUAGUUUAUAGACAGGCGGUAGAACUGAUUGAUUUCCGGUUGAUCGAGCAUGGUCCACGAUCUUUGGAUUCGAUCGGCACGAAAUCACACUCAUUCGACCACAGACGACACGGUAUGUACAUUAGUGAGAACGAAAAUUAGCGGAGAACACGAGCUCGCAGCAUUUUUAGCAGAUCCAGGCGACACGUAAGGUAUAAUUGCGAAUACGGCUUCGGGACACGAAGUUUUUCAAUCGCGGAUCGACGCGUGGCGAAGUGUCGGACACCGAAAUGCCAUUUUUUCCUUUCUAAUUAAGCGACUAAUUGAAAUUCUCGAGAACAAGAAGCGUACGCCGCGAAACGAGAAUUCCUAAUUGCGGAGCGAAAAAAGAAAACUAUGACUAUUAAUUGGCCCGUGCGUUAUGAUCGCGCGAGACGGUUACACUUGCCGAUCCAAGCCGGCCAAGAUGGCCGCCGCUCCGGCGAAUUUCAAAUCCGUAUAAUUGAUCGCGCAAUGAAAUUCCCGCGAACAGGAUCUCGUCGAUUGAGACGCGUUUCUUCUCUUCUCUUUCCCGUUUCUUUCGUCGAAAUUGCUUUCGGCUAAUUUUCACCAGAUUUUCCGACACAGAGCCAGAGAGUCGGGGGUCAUAGUUUGCAUAGUUGGAGAAAAUGGCAGCAGCAGUCGCAUGUUAGGCAUGUGUAGCAUAGCGAUGAUAUCAUGUACGUCGGCGUCUUAAAGUGCGUGAACCAAUUAUGUAAAACUGUAUAGAUGAAUUAAUGUGCUGCAAUCGAGUGCGACUAAUUAUCGUAUAAUAAAUAGUUACGUACAUCUGGACCUUUCGAAACGGCA
Molecule: non-coding RNA, 2926 nt
Organism: Megalopta genalis
Lineage: Eukaryota; Metazoa; Arthropoda; Insecta; Hymenoptera; Halictidae
Source: RefSeq, a predicted model, not a curated record